Molecule: ribosomal RNA, 254 nt
Filed under: uncultured bacterium
Lineage: Bacteria
Description: partial 16S ribosomal RNA
Rfam family: Bacterial small subunit ribosomal RNA
Source: RNAcentral
UACGAAGGGGGCUAGCGUUGUUCGGAUUUACUGGGCGUAAAGCGCACGUAGGCGGAUUGUUAAGUCAGGGGUGAAAUCCUGGAGCUUAACUCCAGAACUGCCUUUGAUACUGGCAAUCUAGAGUCCGGAAGAGGUGAGUGGAACUCCUAGUGUAGAGGUGGAAUUCGUAGAUAUUCGCAAGAACACCAGUGGCGAAGGCGGCUCACUGGCCCGAUACUGACGCUGAGGCACGAAAGCGUGGGGAGCAAACAGGG